GAUGAACGCUAGCGGCAGGCUUAACACAUGCAAGUCGAGGGGCAGCACGUCUUCGGAUGGUGGCGACCGGCGCACGGGUGCGUAACGCGUAUAGAACCUACCUUUUACAGGGGAAUAGCCCAGAGAAAUUUGGAUUAAUGCCCCAUAGUAUUAUUGAAUGGCAUCAUUUAAUAAUUAAACAUUUAUGGGUAAAAGAUGGCUAUGCGUUCUAUUAGCUAGUAGGUAAGGUAACGGCUUACCUAGGCAACGAUAGAUAGGGGUCCUGAGAGGGAGAUCCCCCACACUGGUACUGAGACACGGACCAGACUCCUACGGGAGGCAGCAGUGAGGAAUAUUGGACAAUGGGCGAGAGCCUGAUCCAGCCAUGCCGCGUGCAGGAAGACGGUCCUAUGGAUUGUAAAACUGCUUUUUAUACAGGAAGAAAACACUCGGACGUGUCCGAGCUUGACGGUACUGUAUGAAUAAGCACCGGCUAACUCCGUGCCAGCAGCCGCGGU
RNAcentral lists this ribosomal RNA (497 nucleotides) under uncultured bacterium. RNAcentral describes it as "bacterial SSU rRNA". It matches the Rfam family "Bacterial small subunit ribosomal RNA", at positions 28 to 521 of the family's 1533-position model. The record is from RNAcentral.